Molecule: ribosomal RNA, 492 nt
Filed under: uncultured bacterium
Lineage: Bacteria
Description: partial 16S ribosomal RNA
Rfam family: Bacterial small subunit ribosomal RNA
Source: RNAcentral
AGUGAACGCUGGCGGUAGGCCUAACACAUGCAAGUCGAACGGCAGCACAGUAAGAGCUUGCUCUUACGGGUGGCGAGUGGCGGACGGGUGAGGAAUACAUCGGAAUCUACUUUUUCGUGGGGGAUAACGUAGGGAAACUUACGCUAAUACCGCAUACGACCUACGGGUGAAAGCAGGGGAUCUUCGGACCUUGCGCGAUUGAAUGAGCCGAUGUCGGAUUAGCUAGUUGGCGGGGUAAAGGCCCACCAAGGCGACGAUCCGUAGCUGGUCUGAGAGGAUGAUCAGCCACACUGGAACUGAGACACGGUCCAGACUCCUACGGGAGGCAGCAGUGGGGAAUAUUGGGCAAUGGGCGCAAGCCUGAUCCAGCCAUACCGCGUGGGUGAAGAAGGCCUUCGGGUUGUAAAGCCCUUUUGUUGGGAAAGAAAAGCAGCAGGUUAAUACCCCGCUGUUCUGACGGUACCCAAAGAAUGAGCACCGGCUAACUUCGUG